GUCAAUCCUCCUAGGUUCUUGUGCAUUUGCUACCUAUAAAAACCUAUGUUGGUUUUAGGGGGGCAGGUGGUGAGUUAGGAGGCUUAGUAAGCAUAAAUUACUUAAAACAAUCAUAUUUUCCUUCUAUCACAUACACAUGAGUGUAUCAAUCGCAUGAAUGCGACAAAUCUCAAACAUUUGCAAACAUGACAGCCAUGUCACCGGUGAUUCCCCGAUAAACCAAUAUGCCCUUCUCAUAAAGAAGCUUCUUGGGGCUUCCUCUUUCUAUUUCCGAUAUGCUCGGCUCAUAA
RNAcentral lists this unclassified non-coding RNA (290 nucleotides) under Hevea brasiliensis (rubber tree). The record is from RNAcentral. Lineage: Eukaryota; Viridiplantae; Streptophyta; Magnoliopsida; Malpighiales; Euphorbiaceae.